AUGCUCAUUUUGGCAGCACAUAAGCUAAGAUUGGAACAACACAGCAGAGAAGAUUAGCAAGGAGGCUAUACAAAUUUGUGCAGCAUCCACAUUUUUA
RNAcentral lists this small nuclear RNA (97 nucleotides) under Dipodomys ordii (Ord's kangaroo rat). Lineage: Eukaryota; Metazoa; Chordata; Mammalia; Rodentia; Heteromyidae. The record is from RNAcentral.